GAUGAACGCUAGGCGGCAGGCUUAACACAUGCAAGUCGGAGGGGUAACAGAGGUAGCUUGCUACUUGCUGACGACCGGCGCGACGGGUGCGUAACGCGUAUAGAACCUUACCUUUACAGAGGGAUAGCCUUUAGAAAUGAAGAUUAAUACCUCAUAGUAUUGAGUAUUCGCAUGAAUAUUUAAUUAAAGAUUUAUCGGUAAAAGAUGGCUAUGCGUCCUAUUAGUUAGUUGGUAAGGUAAUGGCUUACCAAGACUUUGAUAGGUAGGGGUCCUGAGAGGGAGAUCCCCCACACUGGUACUGAGACACGGACCAG
This 314-nucleotide ribosomal RNA is filed under the name uncultured Polaribacter sp. RNAcentral describes it as "bacterial SSU rRNA". It matches the Rfam family "Bacterial small subunit ribosomal RNA", at positions 28 to 334 of the family's 1533-position model. Lineage: Bacteria; Pseudomonadati; Bacteroidota; Flavobacteriia; Flavobacteriales; Flavobacteriaceae. The record is from RNAcentral.